Molecule: ribosomal RNA, 511 nt
Filed under: uncultured bacterium
Lineage: Bacteria
Description: partial 16S ribosomal RNA
Rfam family: Bacterial small subunit ribosomal RNA
Source: RNAcentral
AUUGAACGCUGGCGGCAUGCCUAACACAUGCAAGUCGAACGGCAGCACAAUAAAGAUUUCGGUCUUUAUGGGUGGCGAGUGGCGGACGGGUGAGUAACGCGUAGGAAUCUGUCCUGGAGAGUGGGAUAACCCGAGGAAACUCGGGCUAAUACUGCAUGACAUUGAGAGAUCAAAAGCAGGGGACCGAAAGGCCUUGCGCGCGGGGGUGAGCCUACGUCGGAUUAGCUAGUUGGUGGGGUAAAGGCCUACCAAGGCGACGAUCCGUAGCUGGUCUGAGAGGAUGACCAGCCACACUGGGACUGAGACACGGCCCAGACUCCUACGGGAGGCAGCAGUGGGGAAUCUUGGACAAUGGGGGAAACCCUGAUCCAGCGAUGCCGCGUGUGUGAAGAAGGCCUUCGGGUUGUAAGGCACUUUAGGUGGGGAAGAAAGGUAGCGAGUGAAUAACUUUCUGCUGUGACGGUACCCACAGAAUAAGCACCGGCUAACUCUGUGCCAGCCGCCGCCGUAA